Molecule: ribosomal RNA, 477 nt
Filed under: uncultured bacterium
Lineage: Bacteria
Description: bacterial SSU rRNA
Rfam family: Bacterial small subunit ribosomal RNA
Source: RNAcentral
CUACGUGCCAGCAGCCGCGGUAAUACGGAAGGUNCGGGCGUUAUCCGGAUUUAUUGGGUUUAAAGGGAGCGUAGGCCGGAGAUUAAGUGUGUUGUGAAAUGUAGACGCUCAACGUCUGACUUGCAGCGCNUACUGGUUUCCUUGAGUGCGCACAACGUUGGCGGAAUUCGUCGUGUAGCGGUGAAAUGCUUAGAUAUGACGAAGAACUCCGAUUGCGAAGGCAGCUGACGGGAGCGCAACUGACGCUUAAGCUCGAAGGUGCGGGUAUCGAACAGGAUUAGAUACCCUGGUAGUCCGCACAGUAAACGAUGGAUGCCCGCUGUUGGUACCUGGUAUCAGCGGCUAAGCGAAAGCAUUAAGCAUCCCACCUGGGGAGUACGCCGGCAACGGUGAAACUCAAAGGAAUUGACGGGGGCCCGCACAAGCGGAGGAACAUGUGGUUUAAUUCGAUGAUACGCGAGGAACCUUACCCGGGCU